AUCCCAUGGUGUGAACACUUCCUUAACAAUUCUUUGAAUCUUUCCCAUGCAUCAAACAAAUACUUAUCAUCUCCUUGCCUAAAUGAAGUGAUUUCGUUCCUCAUCUU
Small nucleolar RNA from Lathyrus oleraceus (garden pea), 107 nucleotides. The record is from RefSeq and is a predicted model, not a curated record. NCBI's taxonomy places the organism in Eukaryota, Viridiplantae, Streptophyta, Magnoliopsida, Fabales, Fabaceae.